Molecule: unclassified non-coding RNA, 496 nt
Filed under: uncultured Paraglomus
Lineage: Eukaryota; Fungi; Glomeromycota; Glomeromycetes; Paraglomerales; Paraglomeraceae
Description: SSU rRNA
Rfam family: Eukaryotic small subunit ribosomal RNA
Source: RNAcentral
CCAAUAGCGUAUAUUAAAGUUGUUGUGGUUAAAAAGCUCGUAGUUGAACCUUGGGCCUGGCUGGCCGGUCCGCCUCACCGCGUGUACUGGUCCGGCCGGGCCUUUCCCUCUGUGGAACCUCAUGCCCUUCACUGGGUGUGACGGGGAAGCAGGACUUUUACUGUGAAAAAAUUAGAGGGCUCCAAGCAGGCCUAUGCUCGAAUACAUUAGCAUGGAAUAAUAAAAUAGGACGUUCGGUUCUAUUUUGUUGGUUUCUAGGACCGCCGUAAUGAUUAAUAGGGACAGUCGGGGGCAUCAGUAUUCAAUUGUCAGAGGUGAAAUUCUUGGAUUUAUUGAAGACUAACUACUGCGAAAGCAUUUGCCAAGGAUGUUUUCAUUAAUCAGGAACGAAAGUUAGGGGAUCGAAGACGAUCAGAUACCGUCGUAGUUCUAACCAUAAACGAUGCCAACCAGCGAUUAGCCUGAGUUCCUUAAAUGACUCGGCUAGCAGCUUCCG